RNAcentral lists this ribosomal RNA (858 nucleotides) under Prionace glauca (blue shark). RNAcentral's name for it is "partial 16S ribosomal RNA". The stretch from base 186 to 689 matches the Rfam family "Bacterial large subunit ribosomal RNA", at positions 573 to 1301 of the family's 2925-position model. The record is from RNAcentral. Lineage: Eukaryota; Metazoa; Chordata; Chondrichthyes; Carcharhiniformes; Carcharhinidae.
UCAAAGCUAGCCUAUAUACUAAUUUAACUAGACCUUAUAAAUCUAAUUUAUAUUAUAAUUUUUAACCAAAACAUUCUCAACCUUUCAGUAUGGGUGACAGAACAAUAAACCCAGCGCAAUAGCUUAUGUACCGCAAGGGAACGCUGAAAAAGAAAUGAAAUAAAUCAUUAAAGUACUAAAAAGCAGAGAUUAUUCCUCGUACCUUUUGCAUCAUGAUUUAGCUAGAAAAAUUAGGCAAAAAGACCUUAAGUCUACCUUCCCGAAACUAAACGAGCUACUCCGAAGCAGCAUUAUAGAGCUAACCCGUCUCUGUGGCAAAAGAGUGGGAAGACUUCCGAGUAGCGGUGAAAAGCCUACCGAGUUUAGUGAUAGCUGGUUACCCAAGAAAAGAACUUUAGUUCUGCAUUAAUUUUUUAUCAUCUAGACAAGACUUACUCGUCAAAGAAAUUUAUAAGAAUUAAUAGUUAUUUAGAAGAGGUACAGCCCUUCUAAACCAAGACACAACUUUUUAAGGUGGGAAAUGAUCAUAAUUAUUAAGGUUACCAUCUCAGUAGGCCUAAAAGCAGCCACCUGUUAAGUAAGCGUCACAGCUCUAAUUUAAUAAUUAAACCUCUAAUUUAGAUAUUCAUUCACAACCCCCUUUAUUUUAUUGGGUUAUUUUAUAUUUAUAUAAAAGAACUUAUGCUAAAAUGAGUAAUAAAGAGAAUAAAUCUCUCCCGACACAAGUGUACGUCAGAAAGAAUUAAAUCACUGAUAAUUAAACGGCCCCAAACUGAGGUCAUUAUAUUAUUUAAUCAUCAACUAGAAAAUCCUAUUCCUCUACCCGUUAUCCCUACACAGGAAUGUCAUCAGGAAAGA